AUGGGGAUGAGGCGCCGGAUCCAGGCGUGGCCUGGGCUGGGCGUGGCGCUCCGGAGGCGCCCGGGACCCACCUGGCAGGGCCAGCAGGGCCAGGAGGGCGAGGAGCGGGAGGGAGCUCGAGGCCAUGGUUGGGAUCUGCUGGAGUGCGGGGGGGACCUCCAGCCCCCCGGGGGGUCCCUGACUCUGCUCUGCCGCGCCUCCGGGUUCGAUUUUGAGGAUUAUGGCAUGUUCUGGAUCCGCCAAAGACACGGAAAGGGACUGGAAUACGUCGCAGGGAUUGACAGUGAUGAAGACACUGCCUACGCGCCCUCGGUGCAGGACCGGUUCUUGAUCUCCAGGGACAACGGGCAGAGCUCUGUGACGCUGACCAUGAACCGCCUCAAGGACGAGGAUUCCGGCAUUUAUUUCUGUGCCAAAUCUGACCCUUCCCCCAGCCCUCAGUCCUUGCCCCAGUCCUGA
This is a non-coding RNA of Catharus ustulatus (Swainson's thrush), 459 nucleotides long. The record is from the annotation of a RefSeq genome assembly. Lineage: Eukaryota; Metazoa; Chordata; Aves; Passeriformes; Turdidae.